CACGUAGGGUGCGAGCGUUGUCCGGAAUUAUUGGGCGUAAAGAGCUCGUAGGCGGUGUGUCGCGUCGGCCGUGAAAACCUGCAGCUUAACUGUGGGCUUGCGGUCGAUACGGGCAUCACUGGAGUUCGGCAGGGGAGACUGGAAUUCCUGGUGUAGCGGUGAAAUGCGCAGAUAUCAGGAGGAACACCGGUGGCGAAGGCGGGUCUCUGGGCCGAUACUGACGCUGAGGAGCGAAAGCGUGGGGAGCGAACACG
Molecule: ribosomal RNA, 254 nt
Filed under: uncultured bacterium
Lineage: Bacteria
Description: partial 16S ribosomal RNA
Rfam family: Bacterial small subunit ribosomal RNA
Source: RNAcentral